GACGAACGCUGGCGGCGUGCUUAACACAUGCAAGUCGUACGGUAAGGCCCUUUCGGGGGUACACGAGUGGCGAACGGGUGAGUAACACGUGAGUAACCUGCCCUCAACUUUGGGAUAACGCUAGGAAACUGGUGCUAAUACUGGAUAUGUGCUCCUGCUGCAUGGUGGGGGUUGGAAAGCUCCGGCGGUUGUGGAUGGACUCGCGGCCUAUCAGCUUGUUGGUGGGGUAGUGGCCUACCAAGGCGGCGACGGGUAGCCGGCCUGAGAGGGUGACCGGCCACAUUGGGACUGAGAUACGGCCCAGACUCCUACGGGAGGCAGCAGUGGGGAAUAUUGCACAAUGGGCGCAAGCCUGAUGCAGCAACGCCGCGUGCGGGAUGACGGCCUUCGGGUUGUAAACCGCUUUCAGCAGGGACGAAGCUUUUUGUGACGGUACCUGCAGAAGAAGCACCGGCUAACUACGUG
This 465-nucleotide ribosomal RNA is filed under the name uncultured bacterium. Its description in RNAcentral is "partial 16S ribosomal RNA". It matches the Rfam family "Bacterial small subunit ribosomal RNA", at positions 28 to 507 of the family's 1533-position model. The record is from RNAcentral.